This 586-nucleotide ribosomal RNA is filed under the name uncultured bacterium. RNAcentral describes it as "bacterial SSU rRNA". It matches the Rfam family "Bacterial small subunit ribosomal RNA", at positions 338 to 916 of the family's 1533-position model. The record is from RNAcentral.
CCUACGGGAGGCAGCAGUGGGGAAUUUUGGACAAUGGGCGCAAGCCUGAUCCAGCAAUGCCGCGUGCAGGAUGAAGGCCUUCGGGUUGUAAACUGCUUUUGUACGGAACGAAACGGUCUGCUCUAAUACAGUGGGCUAAUGACGGUACCGUAAGAAUAAGCACCGGCUAACUACGUGCCAGCAGCCGCGGUAAUACGUAGGGUGCGAGCGUUAAUCGGAAUUACUGGGCGUAAAGCGUGCGCAGGCGGUUAUAUAAGACAGAUGUGAAAUCCCCGGGCUCAACCUGGGACCUGCAUUUGUGACUGUAUAGCUAGAGUGCGGCAGAGGGGGAUGGAAUUCCGCGUGUAGCAGUGAAAUGCGUAGAUAUGCGGAGGAACACCGAUGGCGAAGGCAAUCCCCUGGGCCUGCACUGACGCUCAUGCACGAAAGCGUGGGGAGCAAACAGGAUUAGAUACCCUGGUAGUCCACGCCCUAAACGAUGUCAACUGGUUGUUGGGUCUUCACUGACUCAGUAACGAAGCUAACGCGUGAAGUUGACCGCCUGGGGAGUACGGCCGCAAGGUUGAAACGUCAAAUGAAUUGACGG